CCUACGGGUGGCUGCAGUGAGGAAUAUUGGUCAAUGGGCGCGAGCCUGAACCAGCCAAGUCGCGUGAGUGAAGACGGUCCUAUGGAUUGUAAACCUCUUUUGUCGGGGAGCAAAAGACGCCACUCGUGGCUUUCCUCGAUUACCCGAAGAAAAAGCAUCGGCUAACUCCGUGCCAGCAGCCGCGGUAAUACGGGGGAGGCGAGCGUUAUCCGGAUUUAGUUGGUUAAAAGUGUGCGACGGGGGAAGAUAAAGUCAGCGGUAAAAUGGAGAGGCUAAACCUCUUCGAGCAGUUGAUACUGGUGUGCUUGAGUGAGCGAGAAGUAUGUAGAAGGCGAGGUGUAGCGGUGAAAUGCAUAGAUAUCACGAAGAACUCCGAUUGCGAAGGCAGCAUACCGGCGCUCAACUGACGCUCAUGUACGAAAGUGUGGGUAUCGAACAGGAUUAGAUACCCCUGUAGUC
Molecule: ribosomal RNA, 459 nt
Filed under: uncultured bacterium
Lineage: Bacteria
Description: partial 16S ribosomal RNA
Rfam family: Bacterial small subunit ribosomal RNA
Source: RNAcentral